Molecule: ribosomal RNA, 499 nt
Filed under: Staphylococcus pseudintermedius
Lineage: Bacteria; Bacillati; Bacillota; Bacilli; Caryophanales; Staphylococcaceae
Description: bacterial SSU rRNA
Rfam family: Bacterial small subunit ribosomal RNA
Source: RNAcentral
AGCGAACAGAUAAGGAGCUUGCUCCUUUGACGUUAGCGGCGGACGGGUGAGUAACACGUGGGUAACCUACCUAUAAGACUGGAAUAACUCCGGGAAACCGGGGCUAAUGCCGGAUAACAUGUUGAACCGCAUGGUUCUACAGUGAAAGACGGUCUUGCUGUCACUUAUAGAUGGACCCGCGCCGUAUUAGCUAGUUGGUGGGGUAACGGCCUACCAAGGCGACGAUACGUAGCCGACCUGAGAGGGUGAUCGGCCACACUGGAACUGAGACACGGUCCAGACUCCUACGGGAGGCAGCAGUAGGGAAUCUUCCGCAAUGGGCGAAAGCCUGACGGAGCAACGCCGCGUGAGUGAUGAAGGUCUUCGGAUCGUAAAGCUCUGUUGUUAGGGAAGAACAAAUGUGUAAGUAACUGUGCACAUCUUGACGGUACCUAACCAGAAAGCCACGGCUAACUACGUGCCAGCAGCCGCGGUAAUACGUAGGUGGCAAGCGUUAUCC